ACUUAGCACCCCGUGGUGGCUAGCUACGGACAGACAAACAAAAGCUGCAAUCACGUGGGCUUGCUCCAGCGUCGUGAACUCCGAAUGUGUAUAUAAACGAACCAAACUUCACCCUUCACCCUCACCCCGCACCUCAUUUCUCAUUUCCUUAUUUCUGAGCUCUCCCAAUUCUAUUUGCAUCAUCCCUCUCACUUCUCACUCAGCUUCUCGGCCAAAGUUCCUCCAGAGCCGAAAGACAUUUGUUGUGUUUGCGAUUUGCCUUCCCUAUUGGUGUCUCAGAUUUGCGUUGUCGAGGAUUGUCCCUGUCGGUGUCUCUGGCCAUAGCUUUGUUCGCGGGCAGAAUUGGUCGCCGUAUUGACUACUAACAGUGCUGACAAGACAAUCAAUUUUUUAAAUAUAAAUAGUUCGAAAGAGGGUUGGUGACAAAAGCACUGGACAUUUUCUCCCAGUUGCAUUUCAGACCAGAUAUAAGGAGGUUCUUGUAAAGGCACAUACUGCUGCAUCUGGAGCGGUGCUAAGAUUGCAAAUAGCUCCUGUUCUUGGUAGGAAAAGGAAACCAAUUGAGUGGUCUGAGUUUCAGAUAAAUGCUAUUCAUACUAGCUUUUGGAAGAUAUCUAUGGUUAUGGUUGAAGAAUGUUGAAGACAAAAUUGCCUUUUGCUCAUGGAGUGGUUCAUUUAGAUGUUCUUCAAUUUCUUAAACUGUGAUUGCUUUUGUAAAUGUACCUUAUGUACAAGUGAUAUUUUGGACAAAUGUUAUUUUUGUAGGCAUUAGUUGGGUAAUGUACACUUGAAUUUGGCAUUUGAGAAUGCUAUAUUAUUACCAUGUAAUCUAAUGCAAAUACUUUUGGUUAUCAAUCGUUCAUGUUUA
Coffea arabica (coffee) is the source of this 868-nucleotide long non-coding RNA. RefSeq lists it as uncharacterized. The record is from RefSeq and is a predicted model, not a curated record. NCBI's taxonomy places the organism in Eukaryota, Viridiplantae, Streptophyta, Magnoliopsida, Gentianales, Rubiaceae.